GGUUGGCCCCGUGAGGGGUUUCAAGAUCCGAUUACUUGGGUGGGUAGUC
This 49-nucleotide non-coding RNA is filed under the name Peptococcaceae bacterium. RNAcentral's name for it is "Na+-I sequence". It matches the Rfam family "Na+ riboswitch aptamer (DUF1646)". From Rfam's summary of the family: Proteobacteria, NC10, Acidobacteria, Verrucomicrobia. Lineage (Clostridia) The riboswitch of Na+ was first reported in a comparative analysis of intergenic regions and called DUF1646 RNA, it was also suggested that it acts as cis-reg RNA present upstream of Na+ genes. Afterward it was reported as a riboswitch that selectively senses Na+. The record is from RNAcentral. Lineage: Bacteria; Bacillati; Bacillota; Clostridia; Eubacteriales; Peptococcaceae.